CACCUAGGCCAUGCCCGUGCCUGAAAGAAAAAGUCAGGACGUUGAUUCGAACGGAUUCGAAUGCAACGAGCACUAAGUACGGUCACAUUAUUGGAGGAAUGACCGUGUGCUUGGUUCGUGAUUUGGAGUCACAAGUGAUAGCUGCAAGCUGAUAUCACUCGAACCACUGCACCAACCCGACUAAGCAUGAUCGAAAAAAGCUACAGCUCAUUAUGGCGUCAGUUUAGCUUUAAUGCUAAAUUUCGCAAACACGGUGAACUAGAUUGACAAUAAUAAAAAAUGAACUUUA
This 289-nucleotide long non-coding RNA is filed under the name Daphnia magna. Its description in RNAcentral is "uncharacterized LOC123474292". Lineage: Eukaryota; Metazoa; Arthropoda; Branchiopoda; Diplostraca; Daphniidae. The record is from RNAcentral.